GGGCCCGACAGAGUUUGAUCAUGGCUCAGGACGAACGCUGGCGGCGUGCUUAACACAUGCAAGUCGAACGUGAUCCACGACUUCGGUUGUGGUGAAAGUGGCAAACGGGUGAGUAACGCGUGGGAAUCUGCCCAGAGGUAGGGAAUAACCGCGGGAAACUGCGGCUAAUACCCUAUGUGCCCUACGGGGCAAAGAUUUAUCGCCUUUGGAGGAGCCCGCGUCGGAUUAGGUAGUUGGUAGGGUAACGGCCUACCAAGCCUACGAUCCGUAGCUGGUCUGAGAGGAUGAUCAGCCACACUGGGACUGAGAUACGGCCCAGACUCCUACGGGAGGCAGCAGUGGGGAAUAUUGGACAAUGGGGGCAACCCUGAUCCAGCAAUGCCGCGUGAGUGAUGAAGGCCUUCGGGUUGUAAAGCUCUUUCGGCGGGGAAGAUGAUGACGGUACCCGCAGAAGAAGCCCCGGCUAACUUCGUGCCAGCAGCCGCGGUAAUA
RNAcentral lists this ribosomal RNA (492 nucleotides) under uncultured bacterium. Its description in RNAcentral is "bacterial SSU rRNA". It matches the Rfam family "Bacterial small subunit ribosomal RNA", at positions 1 to 525 of the family's 1533-position model. The record is from RNAcentral.